This 256-nucleotide ribosomal RNA is filed under the name uncultured bacterium. RNAcentral's name for it is "partial 16S ribosomal RNA". It matches the Rfam family "Bacterial small subunit ribosomal RNA", at positions 524 to 777 of the family's 1533-position model. The record is from RNAcentral.
UACGGAGGGUGCAAACGUUGCUCGGAAUCAUUGGGCGUAAAGCGCACGUAGGCGGCCUGUUAAGUCGGAUGUGAAAGCCCCGGGCUCAACCCGGGAAGUGCAUUCGAAACUGGCGGGCUUGAAUAUGGAAGAGGGUCGCGGAAUUCCCGGUGUAGAGGUGAAAUUCGUAGAUAUCGGGAGGAACACCAGUGGCGAAGGCGGCGACCUGGGCCAAUAGUUGGACGCUGAGGUGCGAAAGCGUGGGGAGCAAACAGGG